GUGUUGUAGGAAAGGAGAGAAGUUAGCCGUCCGCUCGGUGGGGACGGCAGAGGCCCGGCCCGGCCGCAUGCUGACCGUUAGGCUUUGCCGCCUGCUUCGUGGCAUCUGACCAUCGUUGGGUUUUU
Suricata suricatta (meerkat) is the source of this 125-nucleotide small nuclear RNA. NCBI's taxonomy places the organism in Eukaryota, Metazoa, Chordata, Mammalia, Carnivora, Herpestidae. The record is from Ensembl.